GAUGAACGCUGGCGGCGUGCUUAACACAUGCAAGUCGAACGAGAAGUGAAGACGGAAACCUUCGGGCGGAAGGCUUUAUUUCGAGUGGCGGACGGGUGAGUAACGCGUGGGUAACCUGCCUCAUACAGGGGGAUAACGGUUGGAUACGACUGUUAAUACUGCAUAAGACCACAGCACCGCAUGGUGCGGGGGUAAAAACUCCGGUGGUAUGAGAGGGACUCGCGUUCGAUUAGCCAGUUGGCAGGGUAACGGCCCACCAAAGCGACGAUCGAUAGCCGAUCUGAGAGAAUGACCGGCCACAUUGGCACUGAGACACGGCCGAGACUCCUACGGGAGGCAGCAGAGGGUGAUAUUGCAAAAUGGGGGAAGCCCUGAUGCAGCGACGCCGCGUGAGUGAAGAAGUAUGUCGGUAUGUAAAGCUCUAGCAGCAGGGAAGAAAAUGACGGUACCUGAGUAAGAAGCCCCGGCUAACUACGUG
Molecule: ribosomal RNA, 478 nt
Filed under: uncultured bacterium
Lineage: Bacteria
Description: partial 16S ribosomal RNA
Rfam family: Bacterial small subunit ribosomal RNA
Source: RNAcentral